Acipenser ruthenus (sterlet) is the source of this 955-nucleotide long non-coding RNA. RefSeq lists it as uncharacterized. Lineage: Eukaryota; Metazoa; Chordata; Actinopteri; Acipenseriformes; Acipenseridae. The transcript has 3 exons. The record is from RefSeq and is a predicted model, not a curated record.
CUGGAGGAGCAGGGCACAAUGGUCAGGCUUUAGGGAAUUAAGUGGCUGAUUGUGUUGCAGUGAUUCUUGUUCUAAUCAGCACAUGAAUGCCGGGCCUUCUUUCCUGCCUUCCUUCUCCAGGUCUGUAUCGUUUGAGUUUUUAGGAAUGACGCAGUGUAUUUAUAAAAACAUCUUCGAUGCCAAGCCCCAUGCUGGUGGAGCCGAAUAUAAUUCUGCAACUAGAUCCUAGAACAGAGUAAUGGGACAGGCUCUGAUGGAGAAGAGGAGAUUCCAGCAAGCCCUUCAUCACAGCCUUGUAUCUCUCCAGCUGAAUUAUGGUCUCCGCACUUCACUUCAAGGGCAAGCUUGAAGAGAAAUCUUCUGGGAGCCUGUAUUUAUCCACCAGGAACAGCUGCACUCCAAACUGCUUCCGAAAUGAGUCGUUUGGCUCUGGAGGUCACUGGGGGACAGAGGAACACUGACAGUCUGAAUAAGAGGCCUCCGUUCUGUCCUGUCGUACUGUCACAUUCGGCUCUGGGAGGGACAAAGACCAACAUCUACGACUAAAACUGGCCAUCUUUCAAGGGAGGUAGAGGACAGGACCCUUCCUCAAAACACGCUGGGCAUCUUCUCUCUAAUUGGAACCCCUAAAACAGGAAGUUUGGAUAUAUUUGGGUGAUGUGGGUAUAGCUGGGUGACGUGGGUAUAGCUGGUGACAUGGGUAUAGUUGUGUGAUGUGGGUAUAGUUGUGUGAUGUGGGUAUAGCUGGGUGAUGUGGGUAUAGCUGGGUGAUGUGUGUAUAGUUGGGUGAUGUGUGUAUAGUUGGGUGAUGUGGUCAAUGGGUUUGGAUAGAGGGGGGUCUCCCUGCACCUCUCAGUUACCGUGCCAGGGAGGACGGUAGAGGGUCCAGGAAAUGCUGUGCCUUCUACCCAGAAUCUCUUUAAAACAUGUAAAGACUUCUAAUCAGCACCUCAGA